Molecule: ribosomal RNA, 406 nt
Filed under: uncultured bacterium
Lineage: Bacteria
Description: partial 16S ribosomal RNA
Rfam family: Bacterial small subunit ribosomal RNA
Source: RNAcentral
AUUGAACGCUGGCGGCAGGCCUAACACAUGCAAGUCGAACGAGUGGCGGACGGGUGAGUAAUGUCUGGGAAACUGCCUGAUGGAGGGGGAUAACUACUGGAAACGGUAGCUAAUACCGCAUACUAUCAGAUGUGCCCAGAUGGGAUUAGCUUGUUGGUGGGGUAACGGCUCACCAAGGCGACGAUCCCUAGCUGGUCUGAGAGGAUGACCAGGGACACGGCAACUGAGACAAGGGGGAGGCGCCUACGGGCGGGGCCAGUGGGGAAGGUGGCAGAGUGGGCGCAAGUCAGAAGCAGCCCUGCCGCGCGUAUGAAGAGGGCCAUCGGGUUGUAAAGCACGUUCAGUGGGGAGGCGUUACCUGUAGAAGAAGAACCGGCUAACUCCGUGCCAGCAGCCGCGGUAAUAC